Molecule: unclassified non-coding RNA, 312 nt
Filed under: Hevea brasiliensis (rubber tree)
Lineage: Eukaryota; Viridiplantae; Streptophyta; Magnoliopsida; Malpighiales; Euphorbiaceae
Source: RNAcentral
GGCAUAUUGAUAUACAACUUCUUUAGCACUGCAAGGAAUUUUCCAAAUUGUUUGUCUAGUUUAUGCUUGAUGAAUCUUUGAGGUUAGGGUAGAGUAGGCUUAUAAGGCUUAGGUGGGAUGUAUGGCUUCUCUCCCUCAUCCUGCUCACUUUUGUUUUUUUCUUCUUUUUCAUUUUUUUUGCUCUCAACUGAAUUUUCUUCUUUUAUGCUCUCUUUUUCUUCUCUCUUGUUUUCACUCUCUUAACCAACUUUCUUACCACUUCUCAAGGUCACAACCUUAUAUUGUUAAUCGGGGUUCUAUGGUUGGCUAGGU